RNAcentral lists this ribosomal RNA (791 nucleotides) under uncultured bacterium. RNAcentral describes it as "bacterial SSU rRNA". It matches the Rfam family "Bacterial small subunit ribosomal RNA", at positions 51 to 890 of the family's 1533-position model. The record is from RNAcentral.
AUACAUGCAGUCGAGUGGGUUCAGACCCACGGCAGACGGGUGAGUAACACGUUGGUACCUGCCCUGAAGUGAGGGAUAACCCCGCGAAAGCGGGGGUAAUACCGCAUAUGUCCUACGGGAUAAAGCUUCGGCGCUUCAGGAGGGGCCUGCGCAAUAUCAGCUAGUUGGUGAGGUAAUGGCUCACCAAGGCUAUGACGUAUAGCUGGUCUGAGAGGAUGAUCAGCCACAAUGGAACUGAGAAACGGUCCAUACUCCUACGGGAGGCAGCAGUAAAGAAUCUUCCGCAAUGGGCUAACGCCUGACGGAGCAACACUGCGUGGAGGAUGAAGGCUUUCGGGUCGUAAACUCCUUUUCUGGGGGAAGAAGUUCUGACGGUACCCCAGGAAUAAGCGACGGCAAACUACGUGCCAGCAGCCGCGGUAAUACGUAGGUCGCAAGCGUUAUCCGGAAUUAUUGGGCGUAAAGCGUCCGUAUGCGGUUUUUUAAGUCCGUGGUUAAAUCCCAGAGCUCAACUCUGGAAUCGUCAUGGAAACUGGAAAACUUGAGGUGUGCAGAGGCAGAUGGAAUUUCGGAAGUAGGGGUAAAAUCCGUAGAUCUCCGAAGGAACACCAAACGCGAAGGCAUUCUGCUGGGCACAAUCUGACGCUGAGGGACGAAAGCGUGGGGAGCAAACAGGACUAGAUACCCUGGUAGUCCACGCUGUAAACGAUGGAUACUCGGUAUCAGGGGAUUCGACCCCCUUGGUGCCUAAGCUAACGCAUUAAGUAUCCCGCCUGGGUAGUACGGCCGCA